This 72-nucleotide transfer RNA is filed under the name Camelus bactrianus (Bactrian camel). It matches the Rfam family "tRNA". From Rfam's summary of the family: Transfer RNA (tRNA) molecules are approximately 80 nucleotides in length. Their secondary structure includes four short double-helical elements and three loops (D, anti-codon, and T loops). The record is from Rfam by way of RNAcentral. RNAcentral also lists the same sequence under 2 other names. Lineage: Eukaryota; Metazoa; Chordata; Mammalia; Artiodactyla; Camelidae.
GUGGGUAGAGCUCAGUGGUAGAGCUUGUGCUUAGCAUGCACAAGGUCCUGGGUUCAAUCCCCAGUACCUCCA